AGCAGCCGCGGUAAUUCCAGCUCCAAUAGCGUAUAUUAAAGUUGUUGCAGUUAAAAAGCUCGUAGUUGAAUUUCGGGAUCAAUGUUUCGGUCAUGCCCUUGGUAUGUACUGAUAUUAUUGGUUUCUCACCUUCUAAAGAACCGUAAUGCCAUUAAUUUGGUGUCACGGGGAAUUAGGACUGUUACCUUGAAAAAAUUAGAGUGUUUAAAGCAGGCUCACGCUUGAAUACAUUAGCAUGGAAUAAUGAAAUAGGACAUCCGAUUCUAUUUUGUUGGUUUCUAGGAUCGAUGUAAUGAUUAAUAGGGAUAGUUGGGGGCAUUAGUAUUCAAUUGUCAGAGGUGAAAUUCUUGGAUUUAUUGAAGACUAACUACUGCGAAAGCAUUUGCCAAGGAUGUUUUCAUUAAUCAAGAACGAAAGUUAGGGGAUCGAAGACGAUCAGACACCGUCGUAGUCUUAACCAUAAACUAUGCCGACUAGGGAUCGGAUGAUGUUAAUUUUUUAAUGACUCA
RNAcentral lists this ribosomal RNA (509 nucleotides) under uncultured glomeraceous AM fungus. RNAcentral's name for it is "SSU rRNA". It matches the Rfam family "Eukaryotic small subunit ribosomal RNA", at positions 569 to 1078 of the family's 1831-position model. The record is from RNAcentral. Lineage: Eukaryota; Fungi; Glomeromycota; Glomeromycetes; Glomerales; Glomeraceae.